Brachypodium distachyon (stiff brome) is the source of this 144-nucleotide non-coding RNA. Lineage: Eukaryota; Viridiplantae; Streptophyta; Magnoliopsida; Poales; Poaceae. The record is from Rfam.
UCUGCUUCUCUUUAAGUAUUCGUGUCUGUGAACUAACUUCAAUGGUUCCUGGGCAAUGAUGAGAUGGGAAGCAGAAAUCAAAUGUUCCUCUCGCUAUCCAAUGCGGAAUUUCCUGAUGCGAUUGGACGUCGAGGAACUACAUUU